UACAUAGGGGGCAAGCGUUAUCCGGAAUUAUUGGGUGUAAAGGGUGCGUAGACGGAGAAACAAGUUGGUUGUGAAAUCCCUCGGCUCAACCGAGGAACUGCAACCAAAACUACUUCCCUUGAGUGUCGGAGAGGAAAGUGGAAUUCCUAGUGUAGCGGUGAAAUGCGUAGAUAUUAGGAGGAACACCAGUGGCGAAGGCGACUUUCUGGACGAUAACUGACGUUGAGGCACGAAAGUGUGGGGAGCAAACAGG
Molecule: ribosomal RNA, 253 nt
Filed under: uncultured bacterium
Lineage: Bacteria
Description: partial 16S ribosomal RNA
Rfam family: Bacterial small subunit ribosomal RNA
Source: RNAcentral